Molecule: ribosomal RNA, 469 nt
Filed under: uncultured bacterium
Lineage: Bacteria
Description: partial 16S ribosomal RNA
Rfam family: Bacterial small subunit ribosomal RNA
Source: RNAcentral
GACGAACGCUGGCGGCGUGCUUAACACAUGCAAGUCGAACGGAAAGGCCCUGCUUGCAGGGUGCUCGAGUGGCGAACGGGUGAGUAACACGUGGGUGAUCUGCCCCUUACUUUGGGAUAAGCCUGGGAAACUGGGUCUAAUACUGGAUAGGACCAUGCUGUAGGUGGUGUGGUGGAAAGAUUAGUUUCGGUAAGGGAUGAGCUCGCGGCCUAUCCGCUUGUUGGUGGGGUAAUGGCCUAACGAGGCGUCGACGGGUAGCCGGCCUGAGAGGGUGGACGGCCACAUUGGGACUGCGACGCGGGCCAGACGCCUGCGGGAUGCAGCAAUGGGGAAUAUUGCACAAUGGGCGCAAGCCUGAUGCAGCGACGCCGCGUGGGGGAUGACGGCCUUCGGGUUGGAAACUCCUUUCAGCCAUGACGAAGCCCUUGUGGUGACGGUAGUGGUAGAAGAAGCACCGGCUAACUACGUG